AGAAGCAGCAUCUAAACCAGAAACAAACCUCAGUUAGAUUUUACCGUGAUCCCCUCCAGCACAAACAAGUACCUUACACUCCAACUACAACUUUGACCACGAAAUGCAACAACAAAAGACACAACCCUAGCGUCGCACGAUUUACCCG
Molecule: long non-coding RNA, 148 nt
Organism: Rhodamnia argentea
Lineage: Eukaryota; Viridiplantae; Streptophyta; Magnoliopsida; Myrtales; Myrtaceae
Exons: 3
Source: RefSeq, a predicted model, not a curated record